GACGAACGCUGGCGGCGUGCUUAACACAUGCAAGUCGAACGGAAAGGCCCUGCUUGCCGGGUACUCGAGUGGCGAACGGGUGAGUAACACGUGGGUGAUCUGCCCUGCACUUCGGGAUAAGCCUGGGAAACUGGGUCUAAUACCGGAUAGGAGCCAUUUUUAGUGUGAUGGUUGGAAAGUUUUUUCGGUGUAGGAUGAGCUCGCGGCCUAUCAGCUUGUUGGUGGGGUAAUGGCCUACCAAGGCGGCGACGGGUAGCCGGCCUGAGAGGGUGGACGGCCACAUUGGGACUGAGAGGCGGCCCAGACGCCGACGGGAGGCAGCAGGGGGGAAGAUUGCACAAUGGGCGCAAGCCGGAUGCAGCGACGCCGCGGGGGGGAGGACGGCCUUCGGGUUGUAAACUCCUUUCGCUAGGGACGAAGCUUUUUGUGACGGUACCUAGAUAAGAAGCACCGGCUAACUACGUG
This 465-nucleotide ribosomal RNA is filed under the name uncultured bacterium. RNAcentral's name for it is "partial 16S ribosomal RNA". It matches the Rfam family "Bacterial small subunit ribosomal RNA", at positions 28 to 507 of the family's 1533-position model. The record is from RNAcentral.